GGUAUCCACUGUAGGCCUCUAUGAAUUUUGACCAUAAGGCACGCGGUGAAUGCCAA
RNAcentral lists this microRNA precursor (56 nucleotides) under Drosophila mojavensis. Its description in RNAcentral is "Dmo-Mir-124_pre stem-loop". It matches the Rfam family "mir-124 microRNA precursor family", at positions 13 to 71 of the family's 72-position model. From Rfam's summary of the family: The mature ~21nt miRNAs are processed from hairpin precursor sequences represented here, in this case originating from the 3' arm. The record is from RNAcentral. Lineage: Eukaryota; Metazoa; Arthropoda; Insecta; Diptera; Drosophilidae.